Molecule: ribosomal RNA, 519 nt
Filed under: uncultured eukaryote
Lineage: Eukaryota
Description: SSU rRNA
Rfam family: Eukaryotic small subunit ribosomal RNA
Source: RNAcentral
AGGGCACCACCAGGAGUGGAGCCUGCGGCUUAAUUUGACUCAACACGGGAAAACUCACCCGGCCCGGACACUGGAAGGAUUGACAGAUUGAGAGCUCUUUCUUGAUUCAGUGGGUGGUGGUGCAUGGCCGUUCUUAGUUGGUGGAGUGAUUUGUCUGGUUAAUUCCGAUAACGAACGAGACUCUAGCCUACUAAAUAGAUCGUCGGCUUACAAACGCCGGCGAGACUUCUUAGAGGGACAGGCGGUGAUUCAACCGCACGAAACAGAGCAAUAACAGGUCUGUGAUGCCCUUAGAUGUCCGGGGCCGCACGCGCGCUACACUGAAGUGAUCAGCGUGCUUUUUCAACCUACUCUGUCAAGAGUGGGGAACCCAAUGAACCUUCUUCGUGAUUGGGAUAGGGGAUUGUAAUUAUUCCCCUUGAACGAGGAAUUCCCAGUAAGCGCGAGUCAUAAGCUCGCGUUGAUUACGUCCCUGCCCUUUGUACACACCGCCCGUCGCUACUACCGAUUGAAAUGUUU